RNAcentral lists this non-coding RNA (226 nucleotides) under Chelonia mydas (Green sea turtle). Its description in RNAcentral is "Eukaryotic small subunit ribosomal RNA". It matches the Rfam family "Eukaryotic small subunit ribosomal RNA", at positions 1225 to 1388 of the family's 1831-position model. Lineage: Eukaryota; Metazoa; Chordata; Testudines; Cheloniidae. The record is from Rfam by way of RNAcentral.
CGGACACGGAAAGGAUUGACAGGUUGAUAGCUCUUUCUCAAUUCUGUGGGUGGUGGUGCAUGGCCGUUCUUAGUUGGUGGAGCGAUUUGUCUGGUUAAUUCUGAUAAUGAACGAGACUCUGGCAUGCUAACUAGUUAUACGCAAAUAAAUCUGUUAGUCUCUAAGGUGCCACAAGUACUCCUUUUCUUUUUGCGGAUACAGACUAACACGGCUGCUACUCUGAAAC